AUUGAACGCUGGCGGCAUGCCUUACACAUGCAAGUCGAACGGCAGCGGACCUUCGGGUGCCGGCGAGUGGCGAACGGGUGAGUAAUAUAUCGGAACGUACCUUUCAGUGGGGGAUAACGUAGCGAAAGUUACGCUAAUACCGCAUAUUCUGUGAGCAGGAAAGCAGGGGAUCGCAAGACCUUGCGCUGAUUGAGCGGCCGAUAUCAGAUUAGCUAGUUGGUGAGGUAAAGGCUCACCAAGGCGACGAUCUGUAGCGGGUCUGAGAGGAUGAUCCGCCACACUGGAACUGAGACACGGUCCAGACUCCUACGGGAGGCAGCAGUGGGGAAUUUUGGACAAUGGGCGCAAGCCUGAUCCAGCCAUGCCGCGUGAGUGAAGAAGGCCUCGGU
This 389-nucleotide ribosomal RNA is filed under the name uncultured bacterium. RNAcentral describes it as "bacterial SSU rRNA". It matches the Rfam family "Bacterial small subunit ribosomal RNA", at positions 30 to 423 of the family's 1533-position model. The record is from RNAcentral.